AGUGAACGCUGGCGGUAGGCCUAACACAUGCAAGUCGAACGGCAGCACAGUAAGAGCUUGCUCUUACGGGUGGCGAGUGGCGGACGGGUGAGGAAUACAUCGGAAUCUACUUUUUCGUGGGGGAUAACGUAGGGAAACUUACGCUAAUACCGCAUACGACCUACGGGUGAAAGCAGGGGAUCUUCGGACCUUGCGCGAUUGAAUGAGCCGAUGUCGGAUUAGCUAGUUGGCGGGGUAAAGGCCCACCAAGGCGACGAUCCGUAGGUGGUCUGAGAGGAUGAUCAGCCACACUGGAACUGAGACACGGUCCAGACUCCUACGGGAGGCAGCAGUGGGGAAUAUUGGACAAUGGGCGCAAGCCUGAUCCAGCCAUACCGCGUGGGUGAAGAAGGCCUUCGGGUUGUAAAGCCCUUUUGUUGGGAAAGAAAAGCAGCAGGUUAAUACCCCGCUGUUCUGACGGUACCCAAAGAAUAAGCACCGGCUAACUUCGUG
Molecule: ribosomal RNA, 492 nt
Filed under: uncultured bacterium
Lineage: Bacteria
Description: partial 16S ribosomal RNA
Rfam family: Bacterial small subunit ribosomal RNA
Source: RNAcentral